GACAACGUGGCCGAGUGGUCUAAGGCGUGUGACUAGAAAUCACUUCUCCUCUGGAGGCGUAGGUUCGAAUCCUGCCGUUGUCG
This 83-nucleotide transfer RNA is filed under the name Entamoeba histolytica. Its description in RNAcentral is "tRNA-Ser". It matches the Rfam family "tRNA". Rfam says of the family: Transfer RNA (tRNA) molecules are approximately 80 nucleotides in length. Their secondary structure includes four short double-helical elements and three loops (D, anti-codon, and T loops). Further hydrogen bonds mediate the characteristic L-shaped molecular structure. tRNAs have two regions of fundamental functional importance: the anti-codon, which is responsible for specific mRNA codon recognition, and the 3' end, to which the tRNAs corresponding amino acid is attached (by aminoacyl-tRNA synthetases). tRNAs cope with the degeneracy of the genetic code in two manners: having more than one tRNA (with a specific anti-codon) for a particular amino acid; and 'wobble' base-pairing, i.e. permitting non-standard base-pairing at the 3rd anti-codon position. Lineage: Eukaryota; Evosea; Mastigamoebida; Endamoebidae. The record is from RNAcentral. RNAcentral also lists the same sequence under 3 other names.